RNAcentral lists this ribosomal RNA (246 nucleotides) under Corynebacterium striatum. Its description in RNAcentral is "partial 23S ribosomal RNA". It matches the Rfam family "Bacterial large subunit ribosomal RNA", at positions 2671 to 2925 of the family's 2925-position model. The record is from RNAcentral. Lineage: Bacteria; Bacillati; Actinomycetota; Actinomycetes; Mycobacteriales; Corynebacteriaceae.
GCUGUCCCUAGUACGAGAGGACCGGGACGGACGUACCUCUAGUGUGCCAGUUGUUCCGCCAGGGGCAUCGCUGGUUGGCUACGUACGGAAGGGAUAACCGCUGAAAGCAUCUAAGCGGGAAGCCUGUUUUAAGAUGAGGUUUCAUUUGAGGUCCCCUAAAGACUAUGGGGUUGAUAGGCCAGACAUGGAAGCACCGCAAGGUGUGGAGUCUACUGGUACUAAUAGACCAAAACAAACACACACGAC